CAAACAGUGACAUCAUGUUCAAAUGACUUUCGGAUAGCCCCCAAAACACCAAUAAGUAAGGGAAUAUAAAUGACACAGAUAUAAAUAUAAAUAAAUGUUUUCAUUACGUUACAAAUGAAGCGUCCACUUUUGCCACAGACAUGCAAGCGUUACAAACAUAACGAGAAGUAAUACUUUCUGAUUUUGAUUUGGAAAGCAUUAGAAGUCCAGGAAAU
Molecule: long non-coding RNA, 215 nt
Organism: Haliotis rubra (blacklip abalone)
Lineage: Eukaryota; Metazoa; Mollusca; Gastropoda; Lepetellida; Haliotidae
Exons: 2
Source: RefSeq, a predicted model, not a curated record